GGCCCAGGAGACGCCAGGCUGGGCUGGGCUGGGCAGGGCAGGGCGGUGAUGGCGGGUG
This 58-nucleotide microRNA precursor is filed under the name Pteropus vampyrus (large flying fox). RNAcentral describes it as "miRNA (ENSPVAG00000026740.1)". Lineage: Eukaryota; Metazoa; Chordata; Mammalia; Chiroptera; Pteropodidae. The record is from RNAcentral.